GACGAACGCUGGCGGCGUGCCUAAUACAUGCAAGUCGAACGCAUUUUCUUUCACCGUAGCUUGCUACACCGAAAGAAAAUGAGUGGCGAACGGGUGAGUAACACGUGGGUAACCUGCCCAUCAGCGGGGGAUAACACUUGGAAACAGGUGCUAAUACCGCAUAAUUCCAUUUACCGCAUGGUAGAUGGAUGAAAGGCGCUUUUGCGUCACUGAUGGAUGGACCCGCGGUGCAUUAGCUAGUUGGUGGGGUAACGGCCUACCAAGGCUGCGAUGCAUAGCCGACCUGAGAGGGUGAUCGGCCACACUGGGACUGAGACACGGCCCAGACUCCUACGGGAGGCAGCAGUAGGGAAUCUUCGGCAAUGGACACAAGUCUGAACGAGCAACGCCGCGUGAGUGAAGAAGGUUUUCGGAUCGUAAAACUCUGUUGUUAGAGAAGAACAAGGAUGAGAGUGGAAAGUUCAUCCCUUGACGGUAGCUAACCAGAAAGCCACGGCUAACUACGUG
Molecule: ribosomal RNA, 507 nt
Filed under: uncultured bacterium
Lineage: Bacteria
Description: partial 16S ribosomal RNA
Rfam family: Bacterial small subunit ribosomal RNA
Source: RNAcentral